Molecule: ribosomal RNA, 428 nt
Filed under: Bacteroidota bacterium
Lineage: Bacteria; Pseudomonadati; Bacteroidota
Description: Bacteroidetes bacterium partial 16S ribosomal RNA
Rfam family: Bacterial small subunit ribosomal RNA
Source: RNAcentral
UAGGGAAUCUUCCGCAAUGGACGCAAGUCUGACGGAGCAACGCCGCGUGAGUGAAGAAGGAUUUCGGUUCGUAAAACUCUGUUGUUAGAGAAGAACAGCGCAUAGAGUAACUGUUAUGCGUGUGACGGUAUCUAACCAGAAAGCCACGGCUAACUACGUGCCAGCAGCCGCGGUAAUACGUAGGUGGCAAGCGUUGUCCGGAUUUAUUGGGCGUAAAGCGAGCGCAGGCGGUUAGAAAAGUCUGAAGUGAAAGGCAGUGGCUCAACCAGUGUAGGCUUUGGAAACUGUUUAACUUGAGUGCAGAAGGGGAGGGUGGAAUUCCAUGUGUAGCGGUGAAAUGCGUAGAUAUAUGGAGGAACACCGGUGGCGAAAGCGGCUCUCUGGUCUGUAACUGACGCUGAGGCUCGAAAGCGUGGGGAGCGAACAGG